AGUAGUGAAAGAAAGAAAAACUUGAAAGCUCUUCACAUGGAGAGCUUGACGGAGGAGCUCUUUCCCUACAGAAUCUUAGGCGAAGAAAGCGGAAGCAAUUCUGGUUCUAAUGAGAGUGGCAAUCCAACCGACGCUGUCAUUUUUGUCGCUAUAAGUUUGGUGCUUGGAAUUGCUUCCCGGCAUUUAUUGCGUGGAACCAGAGUUCCUUACACCGUCGCUCUUCUCGUAAUCGGAAUUGCUCUCGGCUCUCUAGAGUAUGGAACAAGUCAUAGACUGGGGAAGAUUGGCGAUGGAAUUCGUCUUUGGUCAACUAUUGAUCCUGACCUUCUAUUGGCUGUUUUUCUUCCUGCUCUUCUUUUUGAGAGUUCAUUCGCCAUGGAGUUGCACCAAAUAAAGAGGUGUAUGGCACAAAUGCUUCUUCUAGCAGGUCCAGGAGUUCUGAUCUCAACCUUUCUUCUUGGAUCUGCUUUGAAGUUCACUUUUCCAUAUAACUGGAGCUGGAAAACAUCAUUGUUGCUUGGGGGACUUUUGAGUGCUACCGAUCCUGUGGCUGUUGUUGCUCUACUGAAAGAGCUUGGUGCUAGCAAAAAACUGAGUACAAUAAUUGAAGGAGAAUCCUUGAUGAAUGAUGGGACAGCGAUUGUGGUUUAUCAACUAUUCUAUCAAAUGGUCCUUGGAAAGAGCUUUACUUGGGAUGCCAUAGUCAAAUUUCUGGCUCAGGUCUCACUUGGAGCCCAUGGGUCUUGCUUUCGGGUUUGUAUCUGUUUUGUGGCUUGGAUUUAUCUUCAAUGACACAGUGAUAGAGAUUACAUUGACACUUGCUGUGAGCUACAUUGCUUACUUCACUGCUCAGGAAGGUGCUGAAAUUUCUGGUGUGCUGACAGUAAUGACUCUAGGAAUGUUUUAUGCUGCAUUUGCCAGGACAGCUUUCAAGGGUGAAAGUCAACAAAGCUUGCAUUACUUUUG
Pistacia vera is the source of this 966-nucleotide RNA transcript. It is a transcript of the gene named sodium/hydrogen exchanger 7-like, with no coding region annotated. The record is from RefSeq and is a predicted model, not a curated record. Lineage: Eukaryota; Viridiplantae; Streptophyta; Magnoliopsida; Sapindales; Anacardiaceae. The transcript has 9 exons.